CCCGCCCGCCUACGGGAGGCAGCAGUAAGGAAUAUUGGGCAAUGGGCGAAAGCCUGACCCAGCGACGCCGCGUGGGCGAUGAAGGUCUUUGGAUUGUAAAGCGCUGUUCAGGGAGACGAAGGGAUCGUCGGGAAAUACCUGAUGUCUUGACGGUA
Molecule: ribosomal RNA, 155 nt
Filed under: uncultured bacterium
Lineage: Bacteria
Description: partial 16S ribosomal RNA
Rfam family: Bacterial small subunit ribosomal RNA
Source: RNAcentral